RNAcentral lists this ribosomal RNA (440 nucleotides) under uncultured bacterium. RNAcentral's name for it is "partial 16S ribosomal RNA". It matches the Rfam family "Bacterial small subunit ribosomal RNA", at positions 338 to 795 of the family's 1533-position model. The record is from RNAcentral.
CCUACGGGAAGCAGCAGUGGGGAAUAUUGCACAAUGGGGGAAACCCUGAUGCAGCGACGCCGCGUGAAGGAAGAAGUUUUUCGGUAUGUAAACUUCUAUCAGCAGGGAAGAAAAUGACGGUACCUGACUAAGAAGCCCCGGCUAACUACGUGCCAGCAGCCGCGGUAAUACGUAGGGGGCAAGCGUUAUCCGGAUGUACUGGGUGUAAAGGGAGCGUAGACGGUUGUGCAAGUCUGAAGUGAAAGUCCGCGGCUCAACUGCGGGACGGCUUUGGAAACUGUGUAACUGGAGUGCUAGAGAGGUAAGCGGAAUGCGUGGUGUAGCGGUGAAAUGCGUAGAGAUCGGGAAGAACACCGACGGCGAAGGCAGCAUACUGGACAGUAACUGACGUUGAGGCUCGAAAGCGUGGGGAGCAAACAGGAUUAGAUACCCCUGUAGUC